GGUCUCUGGGCUGGUUGAGCUGCGCCGCUGCAGGUAGUGCUGAGUUGCUCCAGGUAAGCUCCUCCUCUCAAAAAGCUCUAGGAACCGAGCCACCCUCGCCCUAGGAGCAACGCCCCUGAGUAAUAUGGGGUUUCGUCGGAUUUCUGCCCGCCGCUCUGGAUCACACGUUUGUUCUCCCUAUUUGAGUCGCAAGGCCUUCCUUCAUUCCACCUAGCAGGCUGCUUGGAAAAGGGCAGAGACUCAUUACUUUGCACCAGUGCCACUGGGUUAGGGUCUCCACAACCGAGCUGGUCUCAGCAAGUGGUGUCCAUACAUGGGGCUCGAACCUGGGUUGAAGGGUCGCCAGAGCGACGGUUGGAGAACGUGGAACUAAGCUGGAGGACACCUGAGUACUCUUAAGCAAUCCCCGUGGACCAAAUCAACUGCCAAUUUGGAUAUCAUCGAGGCACCUGAAACCUUAUCAUGAGCCUGAUGCUGAGGAAUAGAUUCUGGGAGGAUCCCGAGGAUCCCCUGGUUGCAGCCAUGUUGAGACUGACGCUGAGGGGGACCCCAACUGUCACGAGCAACACCCAUCGAACGCAGCCACCUACCUGGGGACAGAUCAAGAAGCUGUCACAGAUGGCAGAAGAAAACCUAAGGAAAGUGGGACAACCAGUCACAAUGAGUAAUUUAAUGAUAGCUAUGAUAGUGGUGAUCACCAUUGCCAUGAGUAUUCCUUCAACAAGGGCUGGCACAGAGGACAAUUAUACUUAUUGGGCGUAUUUAUCAAUCUUGGCUGGCAAUAAUGCCUGGAUGUAAUCACUCUAUGACACAGUUACACAUGCUUUCUGGUCUCCGUAUUUACCAUAAUAAAUCUGCUCCUGUAAUUGAGGUAUACUGCCCUCAAAAACCUAUUUGUAAACAGAAUUGGACCUGGCUAGAAAUAAUGAAUGUAUUUGUUUGGGAAGAUUGCAUUGCAAAACAGGCAGAGGUGCUGUGCAACAAUUCCCGUGGAAUCAUUAUUGAUUGGUCCCCUAAGGGGAUGUUUAGCUUGAAUUGCACCUGUCAGUCUGUGUGCCACAGCCACACUAUGUUCAGCUGGUCUGAACAAAAUGGUCAAAUGGUAGAAAUGGUAAGAAGUAUGGCAAGAGUUCCUAUUAUUUGAAAACAUGGUGGUAUAGUGGCACCUCAACCUCAAAUGAUAUGGCCCGCUCUAGGAGCUUAACAUAAGGAUUUGUGGAAACUAUUAAUGGCUCUUAAUAAGAUCAAAAUUUGGGAGAGAGUAAAAAAGCAUCUAGAAGGACACUCUACAAACUUGUCUUUGGAUAUUGCAAAAUUAAAAGAACAAAUAUUUAAAGCAUCCCAGGCACACCUGACCUUAAUGCCAGAAAUAGGAGUGCUUGAAGGAGUGUAGACAGAUUAGCAGGUAGUAACCCAUUAAAAUAGAUAAAAACACUUGGAAGCUCUGUGAUUUCAAUGAUGAUGGUGCUUUUAAUCUGUGUUGUUUGUCUUUGUAUAGUCUGCAGCUCCCGACUCCUGCAAGAAGUAGCUCACCAUGAUAAAGCCACCUUUGCAUUUAUCAUCUUGCAAAAACAAAAAGGGGGAACAUGUUGGGAACAGGCCCCCAAAUCUGGCCAUAAACUGGCCCCAAAACUGACCAUAAACAAAAUCUCUGCAGCACUGUGACAUGUUCGUGAUGGCUAUGACACCCACCCUGAAGGUUGUGGGUUUACUGUAAUGAGGGCAAGGAACACCUGGCCCACCCAGGGCAGAAAACUGCUUAAGGCGUUCCUAAGCCACAGACAAUAGCAUGAGUGAUCUAUGCAUUAAGGACAUGUUCCUGCUGCAGAUAACUAGCCCAACCCAUCCUUUUGUUUUGGCCCAUCCCUUUGUUUCCUGUAAGGAAUGCUUUUAGUUAAUCUGUAAUCUAUAGAAACAAUGGUUAUCACUGGCUUGCUGUCAGUAAAUAUGUGGGUUAAACUCUGUUUGGGGCUCUCAGAUCUGAAGGCUGUCAGCCCCCUGGAUUUCCCACUCCACACUCUAUAGUUCUGUGUGUGUGUGUGUGUGUGUGUGUGUGUGUGUGUUUCUUUAAUUCCUCUAGUGCUGCUGGGUUAGGGUCUCCACGACUGAGCUAGUCUCAGCAGUAUAAAAAUCAGAAUAUUAAUUUGGCAACAUUUGGUAAUAUCAAUGCAGAAUAUUUAUCAGAAAUCAAAUGUUAUCACCAAAAAUCUACUCUACUUUGUUAUCCAGGAGAUGCAAUACAAAACCCAUUAAUUAAAACAUUAACAGAUACUAUUAAAAUACUUUGGGAUAAGGUCAGAAAUGCUAAAUGUUACUUAUUAUUUUAGACACAUUACCUGAUGCGAGGCAUAUAGUGCAGAUGAUUAUGGUUAGAGUUGUGAUUUUCUAAACUCAAAUACUUCUAUAUGUGAACAUUUUUGGGAGAUUUUUGUCACAACUGGAGAAAGAUUAUUUUUAAAUUUUAGUAAACUACUUACAAAAACUGAACCAGACAAAAAUAAUUCAAGAAGCUAGAAAUAUGACAACAUGGUGCAAUAGGAAAUCCUUGAAUAAAAAAUAUAUAUAUGUAUAUAUACACCAUAAAAUAUAGAAUGGUAUAUUCUGUAUCAUUCUAUAUUCCUUUUCUAAAGCAUCAUUAUUAUUAUUUGAGAUGAGGGGGAGAUCUAACCAUGUUGCCUGGGCUGGUCUUGAACCCCUGUCCUCAAGCAAUCUUCCUUCCUCAGCCUCCUGAGUAGUUGGGAUUACAGACACAUACCACUAUGCCCACCUUAAAGCUUGCUUGCUUGC
Molecule: long non-coding RNA, 2787 nt
Filed under: Homo sapiens (human)
Lineage: Eukaryota; Metazoa; Chordata; Mammalia; Primates; Hominidae
Description: HSALNT0314599
Source: RNAcentral